AAUUCUGAAGCCCAAAUCUCUCUCAUCUCUUUUCCCACACGCCUCUCUUCAUCCUUUACCUCUUUCAUGCCAACUUUCAAACUCCAUCUGCCAUAGACAAAGCUUGUCCCUCUAUUUUGGUGAAAAUUAUCCUUCUCUCUAUAUAUUAUCGCCUUAGACAUUUUGUCUCUUUAUCCUCAACGUAUCUUCUUUAAUGAUUUGGUCAACAAAAGAGCCAAAAGAACCUUUUUAGAAAAUCAGAUUUGGGAAACAGCUCUUUCAAACCGUGACCCUCUCAUUUUGAGUUUCAAACUCAAUCUCUAAGCCUAGAAUGUUCCCCUGUAAAUACUAUUGUUUUCUACAAGUGAAAGGAUGAAUUUUUUUGGGCGGCCACCAUUUUUGAACUUUAGGUUUCAGCCGCCUACUUCACUUUAAAGCUUGAACAGGGACCAGAAAAAGUUUCUCUCAGCUCAAUCUUUCAAUCUUGAUCUUUCUUUUAGCACUUACAGUCUCGUCGCUCAACUCUUGUCUUGUGGAGUAGAUCCAAAACCUCGAAAGUUCCAGUUCACUGCACCACAAGAGACGUUACAGCCAUGCCUGAAAGCCAUAUCUUUAGGAUUUUAAGUGAAGAAGAUAUGUCAAUGUAUGGUAUCCUCACCUUGUAAAACAUUUGCUGAUAUGUCUAAGUCUCAUUUUCAAAGGAUAUAUUCUUGUAACUAUUUUACUAUCUAAAGAUAAGAUACGCCUAAGGAUUAUCUUGAACAUGUCUACAUACAGUAUCCUCAUGAUAGUGUGAAGUAUUGAUAAUGGUUACUUUGAUGAUGUAGAAAUGCCUACAUAUUACAUUUGACUAUGACCGUAUGAGUAUCUAUGGCCUGUUUAGUUUUUUUCUUCUUUUUGUUUCUUAUUUGAUACUCUGUUAAAAUAAGAUUUUACCCUUUUAAUUGUUUCCUUUCUCUUUGUUUUGUAUGACACACUGGAGCCGAAGAGUUUCAUGGUGAGACUCAAGGAUGCCGCUGUUGCAUAGAGACUGCACAUCCUCAUCGAAAAUCUUCUGGGAGCUGCACAUGGCUCUUGAACCUUCUCUUUCACUUUCACUUAUUUGCUUAUUCGUUGUGUGAUUAGCUAGUUUUAUCUUUUAGUUGUCUUAUUAACUAGUUUUAUCCUUUAGCUAUGUGAUCGGCCAUUAAGAUGUAAAUUUACUAUGUAAUCAUAGUCUUAACGGUGCAGAUUUU
Molecule: long non-coding RNA, 1214 nt
Filed under: Nicotiana benthamiana
Lineage: Eukaryota; Viridiplantae; Streptophyta; Magnoliopsida; Solanales; Solanaceae
Description: long non-coding RNA (NBEN_LNC038583)
Source: RNAcentral